GGGUUCUAGAUUUAGGGUGUGGGUUCCCUGGGAUUUCAGCUAGGUCUUUGGGAAGAGAGAAAAAGAGAGUAGAGAGUGUCUCCUCUUCAUCAUCUUCUUCCAUCUCAUCAUCCUUCAAAACAUCCUUCUGUUGGAAUUUCAUCAAGGAGCAUGCAUGUAUAUUUUAAAUUUUUUUUCUAAACAAUGCAGCAGAAUAGAAGAUUAAAAUAUCUUUUAAUCCACA
Molecule: long non-coding RNA, 223 nt
Filed under: Elaeis guineensis (African oil palm)
Lineage: Eukaryota; Viridiplantae; Streptophyta; Magnoliopsida; Arecales; Arecaceae
Description: long non-coding RNA (EGUI_LNC034547)
Source: RNAcentral